This 305-nucleotide ribosomal RNA is filed under the name uncultured bacterium. Its description in RNAcentral is "bacterial SSU rRNA". It matches the Rfam family "Bacterial small subunit ribosomal RNA", at positions 338 to 641 of the family's 1533-position model. The record is from RNAcentral.
CCUACGGGGCGCAGCAGUAGGGAAUAUUGCUCAAUGGGGGAAACCCUGAAGCAGCAACGCCGCGUGCAGGAAGACGGCUCUAUGAGUUGUAAACUGCUUUUGUACAAGGGUAAACCUGAAUACGUGUAUUCAGCUGAAAGUACUGUACGAAUAAGGAUCGGCUAACUCCAUGCCAGCAGCCGCGGUAAUACGGAGGAUGCGAGCGUUAUCCGGAUUUAUUGGGUUUAAAGGGUGCGUAGGCGGGCUGUUAAGUCAGCGGUCAAAUGUCGGGGCUCAACCCCGGCCUGCCGUUGAAACUGGCGGCC